CUCUUCGGAUGAUGAUUUAGAGUGGGUUUUAGAAUGACUCUUGGAGAGGCUAUCGACAUCUGUAUUGAAAAUCAAGCUCUAGGAACAUUGCAGUCUUUCACCCUAUCAGGUUCCUUUAGAAACCAGGCAAAAGGAAUCAUUUGCUGGUCUCAAGCAGUGCUUCUCACAAGACAGAAGAGUGUCAGCUAUCAGGUACUACCCAAGAGAGAAGUUUCUCCUCGACUUCUUCCCAGUUGUGAACCUUUGUCACCAGCGGAUGCAGUUCAUCGGCUCCAGUUUUGCACCAAGGAUACGAGCUUUCGUAAUCG
This 308-nucleotide long non-coding RNA is filed under the name Zea mays. Its description in RNAcentral is "long non-coding RNA (ZMAY_LNC005211)". The record is from RNAcentral. Lineage: Eukaryota; Viridiplantae; Streptophyta; Magnoliopsida; Poales; Poaceae.